GGUUGCGAUCAUACCAGCACUAAUGCACCGGAUCCCAUCAGAACUCCGCAGUUAAGCGUGCUUGGGCGAGAGUAGUACUACGAUGGGUGACCCCCUGGGAAGUCCUCGUGUUGCAACCC
RNAcentral lists this ribosomal RNA (119 nucleotides) under Helianthus annuus (common sunflower). Lineage: Eukaryota; Viridiplantae; Streptophyta; Magnoliopsida; Asterales; Asteraceae. The record is from RNAcentral.